CAAUAGCGUAUAUUUAAGUUGUUGCAGUUAAAAAGCUCGUAGUUGGAUUUCUGAAUUGAAUAUCCGGUCCGCUCGUCUCUGAUGAGUGCGUACUUAUGGAUAUUGGAUUCAUUUUUUGUGAGGACAUUUAUCUGUCAUUAAGUUGAUGGAUUUAUAGACUUGCAUCGUUUACUGUGAAAAAAUUAGAGUGUUUAAAGCAGGCGUUCGCCCAUUUGAAUACAUUAGCAUGGAAUAAUAAGAUAUGACUUUGGUGGUCUAUUUUGUUGGUUUGCACACCAGAGUAAUGAUUAAUAGGGACAGUUGGGGGUAUUCAUAUCUCAACGUCAGAGGUGAAAUUCUUAGAUCGUUGAAAGAUGACCUUAGGCGAAAGCAUUUACCAUGGAUGUUUUCAUUAA
This 395-nucleotide ribosomal RNA is filed under the name uncultured eukaryote. RNAcentral's name for it is "partial 18S ribosomal RNA". It matches the Rfam family "Eukaryotic small subunit ribosomal RNA", at positions 592 to 976 of the family's 1831-position model. The record is from RNAcentral.